UCGGACGGACUCAUAUUGAAACCUAGUGAUUUAUGAGUUAGUGGCGGACGGGUGAGUAACGCGUGGAAAACCUGCCGUAUACCGGGGGAUAACACUUAGAAAUAGGUGCUAAUACCGCAUAAGCGCACAGCUUCGCAUGAAGCAGUGUGAAAAACUCCGGUGGUAUACGAUGGUUCCGCGUCUGAUUAGCUAGUUGGCGGGGUAACGGCCCACCAAGGCAGCGAUCAGUAGCCGGCCUGAGAGGGUGAACGGCCACAUUGGGACUGAGACACGGCCCAAACUCCUACGGGAGGCAGCAGUGGGGAAUAUUGCACAAUGGGGGAAACCCUGAUGCAGCGACGCCGCGUGAGUGAAGAAGUAUUUCGGUACGUAAAGCUCUAUCAGCAGGGAAGAAAAUGACGGUACCUGACUAAGAAGUCCCGGCUAACUACGUGCCAGCAGCCGCGGUAAUACGUAGGGGGCAAGCGUUAUCCGGAUUUACUGGGUGUAAAGGGAGCGUAGACGGCAGCGCAAGUCUGGAGUGAAAUGCCGGGGCCCAACCCCGGAACUGCUUUGGAAACUGUGCAGCUUGAGUGCGGGAGAGGUAAGUGGAAUUCCUAGUGUAGCGGUGAAAUGCGUAGAUAUUAGGAGGAACACCAGUGGCGAAGGCGGCUUACUGGACCGUAACUGACGUUGAGGCUCGAAAGCGUGGGGAGCAAACAGGAUUAGAUACCCUGGUAGUCCACGCCGUANACGAUGAUUACUAGGUGUCGGGNGACCAAGGUCCUCCGGUGCCGGCGCAAACGCAUUAAGUAAUCCACCUGGGGAGUACGUUCGCAAGAA
Molecule: ribosomal RNA, 822 nt
Filed under: uncultured bacterium
Lineage: Bacteria
Description: bacterial SSU rRNA
Rfam family: Bacterial small subunit ribosomal RNA
Source: RNAcentral